UCUUUUUCUUUUUCUUUUUCUUUUUCUUUGGAUUUCUUUUUCUUCUUUUUGUCGUCCUUACUGGAAACAUCAAAAGAAGGGAGAGAAUCAAAAGAAGAGAGAGUGGGGUCAUCGAAAGAACAAGUCAUGGA
Molecule: non-coding RNA, 131 nt
Filed under: Paramoeba aestuarina
Lineage: Eukaryota; Discosea; Flabellinia; Dactylopodida; Paramoebidae
Source: RNAcentral